CAAAUCAUUGCAAGUAUCUUCAUGCAUAUUACUAAAUUGUUCUUUAUCAACCUUGUACUCUAAUUUUAUUAGCAAGAUUUCCAACACCAGCUCACUGCAUGAUCACUGGCCCUAAGAAAUUGAACUUCAACUACUUCAAGACCAUGUUGUUUCACCCAUUUUAUAUCCACAUCACUCUUCUGAAUUUCUGUAGGAGAAAGAUCCUUGGAGUGGAUCAGGUGGCCAGGAUGAACUUUGGAAAGAAUGUCAUCACUUUGAAAUAUUUCACCAUUUCUGGCUUGCAAGAGGGCUAUUAUCUAUUUUGCUGUUGACACAAAAAGGGAUAUUACCAUGUGACUGAGCAAGAGGCUUCAGCAGUUUCUCCAAGUUCCAUCAAGCCACAAACAUACUGAGGUUUGCUUUUCCUUUAAAAAUAAGACCACUGCCCCAAACCAGGAGCAGAAUGUCUAUACAUGUGGGAGAUCCUACUUGGACAGUUUCUGUCAUUUCCUUUAAAAUGAUGGUUCCAUUGUGCCCCAUUGUAGUGGAAUUUGAGGGUAGCAUUACUCUCUGACUUUAGGUUUUUUUAUGAGAAGCAGAUUAGACUAACUACACUUGAGCCUUGAACCAGCUUGGGGUUAAUCUGCAUAUAAAUUAAAAUUGGCUCUCUGCAUCCAUAGUUCCUGCAGAACAUGUACUUCAGCCAACCCUGGUUUAUGUAGUGCUAUAGUAUUUGCUAUUGAAAAAUGCCUGCCUGUAAGUGGAUCCAACAGUUCAAACCUGCAUUGUUCAAGGAUCAACCAUAUAUAAUUCUUCUUUUAAUAUAGGCAAUGUCAGGCUCAAUCUGAAUAUUUAUAGAUAUAGCAUGAAUUUCCCAAACCAUCUUCUGAGUUAGAAGCACAACUGUGAGUAUGUCUGUAUCCCUUUGUUUAGUGAUCUCAUUUAUGAGAUUAUGCCAUGAGUGGGACAUCUUUGGGGUUUUAAAGGUGAUGCCUUGGAGGUUUUGGAACCAGGAAAUUGACAGUGAUUAGCAUUUGAACUGUCACUUCCUCCUUUGCUAUGUUACCAGUAUAGAUGGCACCAUAG
This 1065-nucleotide long non-coding RNA is filed under the name Sus scrofa (pig). RNAcentral's name for it is "lncRNA (ENSSSCG00030012774.1)". Lineage: Eukaryota; Metazoa; Chordata; Mammalia; Artiodactyla; Suidae. The record is from RNAcentral.